AUGGCUGUCGUCAGCUCGUGUUGUGAAAUGUUGGGUUAAGUCCCGCAACGAGCGCAACCCUUAUCCUUGUUUGCCAGCGAGUAAUGUCGGGAACUCCAGGGAGACUGCCGGUGAUAAACCGGAGGAAGGUGGGGACGACGUCAAGUCAUCAUGGCCCUUACGAGUAGGGCUACACACGUGCUACAAUGGCGCAUACAGAGGGCGGCCAACUUGCGAGAGUGAGCGAAUCCCAAAAAGUGCGUCGUAGUCCGGAUCGGAGUCUGCAACUCGACUCCGUGAAGUCGGAAUCGCUAGUAAUCGUGGAUCAGAAUGCCACGGUGAAUACGUUCCCGGGCCUUGUACACACCGCCCGUGGGGCGGGGGCGGCGGGCCGGGCGCGGGGCGCGGCGGGCG
This 393-nucleotide ribosomal RNA is filed under the name uncultured bacterium. Its description in RNAcentral is "bacterial SSU rRNA". It matches the Rfam family "Bacterial small subunit ribosomal RNA", at positions 1045 to 1437 of the family's 1533-position model. The record is from RNAcentral.